RNAcentral lists this ribosomal RNA (2141 nucleotides) under human gut metagenome. RNAcentral describes it as "bacterial LSU rRNA". It matches the Rfam family "Bacterial large subunit ribosomal RNA", at positions 14 to 2007 of the family's 2925-position model. The record is from RNAcentral.
AGGGCGUAUGGUGGAUGCCUUGGCAGACAGUACCGAUGAAGGACGUUUGAGGAUGCGAUAAUCCUAGGGGAGCCUCCAACAUGGCUUUGAUCCUAGGGUCUCCGAAUGGGGGAACCCGCCGGCCGUCAUGGGCCGGCACCGCCUAUGGGCGGGGGGUACGCAGGGAAGUGAAACAUCUCAGUACCUGCAGGAAGGGAUACUCCGUGAGUAGUGGCGAGCGAAAGCGGAUCAGACCAAACCGGUUGCGCGUGAUACCCGUCGGGGGUUGCGUUGCCGGUGUUGUGGGAUCACGUGUCCCGGUUCCGACGGGCCGGGCGGGAGUCAUAAAACGGCUUGCCAGGGGAACAGGCUUGAAGGCCUGGCCGUAGAGGGUGCCAGCCCCGUACCUGGACGUGAGCCGUCUUCCGAUCGUGUUGUCCCAAGUAGCGCGGGCCUCGUGGAAUCCCGCGUGAAUCAGCCCAGACCGUUGGGUAAGUCUAAGCAUACCUGUCUGACCGAUAGCGUACCAGUACCGUGAGGGAAAGGUGAAAAGCACCCCGGGAGGGGAGUGAAACAGUUCCUGAAACCGUGCGCCCACAAACCGUCGGAGCCUCCUUGUGGGGUGACGGCGUGCCUAUCGAAAAAUGAGUCUGCGAGUCAGUGGCGGGUGGCGAGCAUAAGCCGUGUGGCGUAUGCGUAGCGAAAGCGAGUCUUAAAAGGCGUUUUUAGUCGCUUGUCCUGGACCCGAAGCGGGAUGAUCUAGCCCUGGGCAGGUUGAAGCGCGGGUAAGACCGCGUGGAGGACCGAACCCACCUGGGUUGAAAACCGGGGGGAUGACCUGGGGCUAGGGGUGAAAGGCCAAUCAAAUUCCGUGAUAGCUGGUUCUCUCCGAAAUGCAUUUAGGUGCAGCGUCGGUCGAUUGCGUCGCGGGGGUAGAGCUACCGGAUGCUUGCGGGCCCUUGUUGGGUACCAACAGCAGCCGAACUCCGAAUACCGUUGACGUGUAUUCCGGCAGUGAGUCGGCGGGGGAUAAGCUCCGUCGUCGAGAGGGAGACAGCCCAGACCGUCGUCUAAGGUCCCGAAGCGUGUGCUAAGUGGGAAAGGAUGUGGAGUCGCAUAGACAGCCAGGAGGUUGGCUCAGAAGCAGCCAUCCUUGAAAGAGUGCGUAACAGCUCACUGGUCUAGUGGUUCCGCGCCGACAAUGUAGCGGGGCUCAAGCACACCACCGAAGACGCGGCAGCAAUCUUCAUGGUUGCUGGGUAGGAGAGCGUCCUGCGAGGGGCGAAGCGGCCGGGUAACCGUGCCGUGGACUUCGUGGGAGUGAGAAUGCAGACAUGAGUAGCGAGAGACGGGUGAGGAUCCCGUCCGCUGGAUGACCAAGGGUUCCGGGGCCACGUUCGUCGUCCCCGGGUGAGUCGGGUCCUAAGGCGAGGCCGACAGGCGUAGUCGAAUGGAUGAACGGGUGGAUAUUCCCGUACCGACCAUGGACCGGCAAAACCGAGACGGUGAGUACUAACCUCCGCCUCGUGGUGGUUCCUUCCUUCGGGUUGGUAUCGCCGCGUGGUGUUGGGAGCGUAGCCGCAGUAGGUCAGCGCAGGGGUGACACGGAAUGGGAGCCGGCCGCGGAGGUGGUUUUCCGUGGUCAAGCACGCAGCCAGUCAUGUAGGCAAAUCCGCAUGGCGCGCAUGGCGAGGUGUGAUGAUGGGAGCCGUUAUGGCUCGAUAUCCGGUUGUCCAGGCCGUCGAGAAAAGCCUCGGCGUGAGGGCCAUGGCCGCCCGUACCCCAAACCGACACUGGUGGUCAGGUAGAGAAUACCAAGGCGAUCGAGCGAAUCCUGGUCAAGGAACUCGGCAAAUCACUCCCGUGCCUUCGGUAUAAGGGAGACCCGCUGGGGUGAACCGGCUAGCCCGGGGAGCUUUGGUGGGUGGCACAGACCAGGGGGUAGCGACUGUUUACCAAAAACACAGGUGCAUGCGAAGGCGAAAGCCGCUGUAUAUGCACUGACGCCUGCCCGGUGCCGGAAGGUUAAGAGGAUCCGUCAAUCCCUUCGGGGACGAAGCGGUGAAUUCAAGCCCCGGUAAACGGCGGUGGUAACUAUAACCAUCCUAAGGUAGCGAAAUUCCUUGUCGGGUAAGUUCCGACCUGCACGAAUGGCGUAACGA